AUGCUUACUUUAGCAGCACAUAUUCUAAAAUUAGAACAAUACAGAGAAGAUUAGUAUGGCCCCUGUUCAAGGAUGACAUGCAAAUUCAUGAAGUCUUCCAUAUUUUU
Molecule: small nuclear RNA, 107 nt
Filed under: Notamacropus eugenii (tammar wallaby)
Lineage: Eukaryota; Metazoa; Chordata; Mammalia; Diprotodontia; Macropodidae
Source: RNAcentral